GUCCUCUCCGUCCGUCCGUCUGCUGGUCCCUAAAUCGGCCUCUCUGUGCACAAACGCCCUGGCUGCUGCCGAGGCUGCCGCUCUCUGCCUACCGCAAGGUGUACAGAAAGGAAGGAGGGUUGGCGAGCGAGCGACCCACCCCUCCCGGUCCCUCCCUCUGACCCCGCUUUCUCCCCUCCCUGCCCACGCCCCCCGCCGCCGCGCCAGCUCCCGCGAGCGGCAAAGUUGGGUCUGGGAGGGCGGCCCCUGCGGCAGCGCGAGCAGAGAGGCUGCCAGUUCCUGGCAGCGGCGCGAGGAGGGAGGCGCGGGCGGGGCGGGGGCGGGGCGCGGCGCAGGGUAAGCGAGCCUAGAGCAGGGGAGGGAAGGGAGGGCCGGGAGCCGAGAGCCCCGCGCUCCGGAAGUGAAGCGGCCAGACCACCCGCUAAUGGAUGCGGAGCCCAGGGCCUACUGACCGCUCUCCGCGCCAGGGGCAGCUUGGCGUUGGCCGGAGCUACGAAAGACCCAGACACACCAUUGUGUGGAGUUGGGUACCAUCUUCCUUUUCUAGAAGCUGACUAAAUAAGCUCGUGACUCUCACGGAACAACUGGAACACAUACACAGGAGUCCAAGCCACCCUGCUGGGACACUUCUCUCCGGGAGCUUUGGGUGCCGGAGUGGAGGCCUUUCCCCGUGACUAGCAGAGGAGAGGUGAGGCGAGGCGGCAAAGACAGGGAGAGCAGCAGAAGCAGCUCUUGCAGGUGCCUCGGGCAGUCGGAGAAGGGUCAACACCACCACGUGGCUGCUAGCACUGGGGAGAGAGCAGCAGCAGCCCCCGGCCUGCAGAGCCACUCACAGGCAGUGGCGCGGUCAUCACCGACAUACCAACCAGCCACCUUGGGUCAGGGCUAGAGACCUAACUGGAAGUGCUGAGUUCUUGCCCCUGGGCAAGGAAGGGUUAUUGGUCCAGAAGACUUUGAGACUGCUGUGGGAGUGGCCUGGGACCCCUUUACGGGUGGAGUAGAAGUUCAGGAGCUCACCCAGGAUAUUCUGAGUCCUAAGGCAGCGUCUGUCUGCACCACGGACUAACUGGUAGCCGUAGAGUUAG
This 1085-nucleotide long non-coding RNA is filed under the name Ailuropoda melanoleuca (giant panda). RNAcentral's name for it is "lncRNA (ENSAMEG00000029944.1)". Lineage: Eukaryota; Metazoa; Chordata; Mammalia; Carnivora; Ursidae. The record is from RNAcentral.